RNAcentral lists this transfer RNA (91 nucleotides) under Bacteroides sp. CAG:598. RNAcentral's name for it is "transfer RNA-Ser(GGA)". It matches the Rfam family "tRNA". Rfam says of the family: Transfer RNA (tRNA) molecules are approximately 80 nucleotides in length. Lineage: Bacteria; Pseudomonadati; Bacteroidota; Bacteroidia; Bacteroidales; Bacteroidaceae. The record is from RNAcentral.
GGAGAGGUGCUCGAGUGGUUGAAGAGGCACGCCUGGAAAGCGUGUAUACCCCAAAAGGGUAUCGGGGGUUCGAAUCCCCCUCUCUCCGCAA